RNAcentral lists this long non-coding RNA (13824 nucleotides) under Nicotiana tabacum (common tobacco). Its description in RNAcentral is "long non-coding RNA (NTAB_LNC007210)". Lineage: Eukaryota; Viridiplantae; Streptophyta; Magnoliopsida; Solanales; Solanaceae. The record is from RNAcentral.
GGUAGUACAAGUCAUAAGCUCUAUAGAGUUAGCUACCACGUUUAAAUAUAACUGAUCGGAAAAGAAUGAAACAAUUGAAUACAAGUAAGAAGGUGACUCUGAAGCCUGCGAUUGCAGCAACUUGUUUACCUUGAGUCUCCUCAUCAAUGAUCCACACAACUACUAACGAUCGAUACCUGGAUCUGCACAACAAAAAUGUGAGGAAGAGUAGCAUGCGCACACCACAGCGGUGCCCAGUAAGUAUCAAGACUAACUUCGGUGGAGUAGUGAUGAGGACCAGUCGAGACACCUACCGGUCUAAUAAAUUGAUCAAGUAUAAGUGUAGAACAACAAAACAUAAUAUCUAUGUAAGGGCUACGCGGUAUGGCUAACAACAUAGUAAUUGCAUUAUGGAAAGAUAACUGCAAGUAACAGCGGAACCCAUAAUAAGAAUACAAAAAAGUGAAUGGAAAUGCAACCCAACUCUGAAAUCACAAAUACCGCAAGUGAUAAAAAUGUUUCGAAAUAUAUUUAGUUCCAAUAAAUAUUUUCCAAAAAUAGUUCUUUGAAAAUAAAUAUAUUUCGUAUAUAAUUUUCUCGAAUAAAUAACCUUUGAAUACAAGUCACCAUGUGACACCAGAUCUCAAAAUCAUAAAAUACAAGUCUCAAUACCUGAACCCUAACACUUGGCAUCCUGUAGCCUCAUCACAUUACAUAAUCAUACUGACAACUCACGUACCAAAUAGGGUCAUUCUCACAUAGAAGACAAAUAUGCGUCUACACUCGACAAUACCAAGAAGCCUCAUAUAUGAUUAGAGUGCUUAGCCAUGUGUAUACUUGUGCAAGUGUCCUAACAUAGUUCAUACCAGCUACUAAGUGUAAGGAAUAGAACGAACAACACAUAUAUUGUUUACACAAGGAUAGGAUCAAUGAAAAAAAUAGUUCAGAGCAUAGAGAUAGCAACGGGGGGAUCUCCCAGGAUAUCAUCCUAUAGUCCCAACGUAAAUGUGUAGGGGGAUCUACCAGAAUACCGAUCCGUAGUCCCAAAGUAAAUAUGCAGUAGGAUCUACCGGAAUACAGAUCUGUAGUCCCAAAGUAAAUAUCCAACACAAGGGGAUCUACCGGGUGUCAUCCCGUAGUCCCAAAAUAUAAAUGUGCAUGGGAAUCUAUCAAAAUACCGAUCCGUAGUCCCAAAGUAAAUAUCCAGUACAGGGGGUUCUACCAGGUGUCGUCCUGUAGUCCCAAAUAUAAAUAUGCAGGGGGAUCUACCGGAAUACCGAUCUGUAGUCCCAAAGUAAAUACGCAACGCAACCAACAAAAACAUUAGGUACAGCACAAUAGAAAACUCGUACAUCAAAACAAUAUGUAUAACAACAACAAUGACAAUAAUACAACGUAAGACAAGUAAAUCAACUCAAGGACUGUAAAUCACAGGGAAACGGUAGAACCAACUCACAAAGAAUAACCACAUAAAAGAAUGUUGACUUAAAGUGAACAGUUCAACAACGGGAAAACUAACAUGUAGCAACGAUCCCACAAUAUACAAGUCAAUAACAAGGAAAUCAUUACGAGUCAAGUAGCCCCAAAUAAGGCCAAAUCAACAAGGAUAUUGGUUAUCAAACUCCUUUGAAGGUUGGACAAUUUCGAGGAUACUCGAUAAUUCAAUUUAAGGAAAUAUGAUCUUAGCUUCACUUAAGACUAAAUAAUUUUAGGAGGGAAAAUAAUAAUUCUCAAAUAAGACAAGCAGCUAUGAAAAGAUAGCACGACAAUAGGAGUGGCAAAAUUCUUCAAUUAAGUCAAAUAGGACUCAAUUAGUCAAUAAAAGCGAAACAUGAAGAAAUUAAUUCCAAUUAAUCAUGUCGAGGUGAAACUAGUAAAUAGGAAACUCAAUCAAGUUAAGAACACAUUCAUACACAGUGAAUAUAAAGACCUAAGAACCCUAAAAGGCCAAUUUUCCAUAAAUAAGUCAGAGCAUGCACUUGUCACCUCGUGUACCCGAACUACAAUCAACAUAGAAGACUCAAAUCCUAAGGGGAAGUCCCCCACACAAGGUUAGGCAAGAUAAUCAUCUCAAAGACGACAGACCAAUACUCUAAAAUGCACUUCUCGGGUGAAAAGACCUCUAGACAGCUCAAAGAUAACCAAAUUAACUUCAAAGCACAAAUAAAACACAUAAGAAACUAUUUCGGAUCAUAAAGUCUCAAUCAUUAAAAAAAUCCAAAAAUCGGUCCGAAAGUUGACCCAGGGCCUGUACCUCGGAACCCGACAAAUUUCACAAAAAACCAAAUACCCAUUCUGAUACGAGUUCAACCUUACAAAAUUAAUCAAAUUCCUAUACCAUUUGGUCCCUCAAAUCACGAUUUUCCAUUUUAGAAAUUUUCUUUCAAAACCAACAUUUUCCUCAACUCAAAACACAAAUUAAAUGAUGAAAAUGAAAUAAAAUCAUAGAAUAUGUUAGAUUCUAGGUGAAGAACACUUACCCAAUCGAUUUUUGUUAAAAACCCUCCAAGAAUCGCUCAAAACCGAGCUCCACAAGUUAAGAUAUGAAUAAAAUGGUCUAACACUCGAUUUUGGGAUAUAUUUUGUCUGCCCAGGCAUUUGUGCAUUGCGAACGUGAAGAAAGUAUCGUGUUCGCGAAGAAGAAAAAUGAAGGUUGCCCAGGUUGCUCAUCGCGAACGCGACAAUGCGUUCACGAACACAAAAAAGGAAUGUCUGAUGGCCCAAAGACUGCUCUUCGUGAACGCGUGAACUAGUCAGCAAACGCGAAGAGUGGAAUGGCAAAAUCACGCGAUCGCGAGGGACAGAAGUGAACACGAUGAAGGAAGAGACAGAGCUUCGCAAAUGCGAGGCAUGUUACGCGAACACGAAGAAGGAAAAUUAAGGAGACCAGCAUAGACUCUUCGCGAACGCGGAAGGGGCUUCGCGAACGCGAAGGAGGAUAUCAGACACUAGAAAAUAGCAGUUCAAAAACAAGGGAAAAUGACUCGUAGCCCACCCGGAACACACCCGAGGCCCCCGAGACCCCGUCUAAACAUACAAAUAAGUCAUAUAACCUAACAUGGACUUGCUCGAGGUCUCAAAUCAUAUCAAAAAGUUCCGAAACGACGAAUCACACCAUGAAUCAAACUUAGGAACUUUCAAACCUUCCAACUUCCAAAACUCGCGUCGAAACCUAUCAAAUAAACUCGGAAUGAUGCCAAACUUUGCAGACAAGUCCAAAAUGACAUUGCGUAGCUCCUCCAACUCUCGCAAUUGCAUUCUGACCCGAUAUCAUAGAAGUCAACUAUGGGUCAAACUUCUCCAUUUUCCAAACUUCAACUUUUCCAACUUUCACCGAAACGCCUCAAUUUACCCUACGGACCUCCAAAUCCGAUUCCGGACGCGCUCCUAAGUCCUAAAUCACCAUACAAAGCUAUUGAGAUCACCCACAAUCCAUUCCGAGACCGUUUACUCAAAAAUCAAAUUCCUGUCAAAUUCUUUAUCGCUUAACAUCCAAAACUAGUUUCCAUCUUCCAAUUCAACUCCGAACCAUCUGGUGACUGAAUUCAACCAUGAACAUAAGUCUAUACACAUAUUAUGAAGCUAUUAAGACCUUAUUCCACUGAACGGAGCUUAUAUUCUCAAAACGACAGGUCGGGUCGUUACAUCCUCCCCCUCUUAAAACCAACGUUUGACCUCGAAGAUGCCAAGAUUUGCCUCAAAGUCCUCACGUAGCUAAAUACACACUUCUAACAUACAACCACGAGUGAUCCCACGUCAACCCAAUCCACCUAAACUUGACGACACCAUCUCAACAUGUUUGCCGUGAAAAUGGUUACAAUAAUUAAAUUUGUAAAUGAGAUUCUAAAAAUACGUGAUCUAUUCUCGAGCUAGUUGUUAGAGCAGUUAAUGCUAAGAAUGCUAAAUUUAAUGAUGAAAUGCGAGGUAAAAAGAGGUAGUAACCAAACCAAAGGUGGGGGCUGUUGCCCGGAUGUAGAGAUGGUCGAUGGGACCUCGGGGUCGGCGUUAGUAUCAAUCUUGAACUAUCGGGGAUAACCGGAGAUGGGAUAACAGUUAAAUAUAUAAUUAGACAAGGCUAUUUCGGCCGAUAUUAAGUUAUAUAAUGAAGAACAAGUUAAGAGGCGAUGAAUUCGGAGAUGGCCUCAAGCCAGUACCAAGUAAUAAACAAGAAGAACGAACAAAAUAGGAGAAAGGGAAGAAAUAGAGCAACCUCCGCCCUUUACAAAGUGGUAUGGGUUCCCCUUAUAUAGGCAAUGGAACAUGGUAUGGUACAAAUAUGUGGAGAUUAAACACAAAGUACGGAGAUGGGAUGGUUUGACGUGAUGCCUCAGCAUAGGCUCUGGAUAGGCCAGGCCUGUCAGACGUAGCCAUGUGCCUUGGGGGAUUCCCCCUCCGACCUGGCUUCGGUCUUUGUUUUCUCCGAGUCGGGCUCCGACGAUCCCCGAGGUCGAGAACUUGGUCACUACCUCCCGCCCUCUGAGUCCCAAGGCAUGCUUCCGAAAUGUCCCGACAACGAGAAAUCAAGCCUUUUAAUUUCUCCACAUACAGCUAGUCUCCAUGUUUCCCAUAAUGAAGAGAUGGGCAAUGAUUCUAACACUUGACUCCUUGAGCUUCUUUUGGCAACGACGUACCAAUUAUGCGACUCCUGGCCUGAGCUUCGCAGUGAUUGGACAUCCACGUGCUCGUGAUUUUCAACUUAAUUCAUUGCAUUCCUAAUUCUCAUUUUUUAAGGUGAAGGUACCACCGUUGGCUCGAUUUUCCAUGGAUGCAUUAACUGCGUCCGUCGGUCAGCCUUCCAAGGCCUAGAUGACCGUGUCGUAAUCUCCUAUCAAUGGGGGUGCCUCGACUUUGAUUUUCCUAUCCUAGAGCUUUCGUUGGCUCGCUUACCUUUCACUUCUUAUCAUAUUCUUCAUCUUCUCCGGUGGGUAUCCCUCGAGGGAUUGAGUUUGGAACCUAUGGGAGGAUGGAUAUCAAAGGAGUCAUCCUCAAGGAUGCAUUCUAGAGGGUACGACGCCCGAGGAUGCUGAUACCGGAGAUGGACUCUCGAGGACGGACUAGGCACCGGGUUUCAUCGCAUGUACACCCUUUCAUUCCUCCGCUUUGGGCGUAGACUCCUGUGGGCUUUUUCAAGUUGUAUGUAUCGACCUCUCGAGGGCUGCUUGUACACAAACUUUUAUGAAUAAGAGUAUACCCCAUUGAUUUUUGAUUUCGAACUUUGCUUUGUUUCUGUAUGCUCUCAUUCCCUUCGAGGCCCUUUGAAUGCUUUCUUUUGUUUGCUGGCUGCUGAUAUUGGGAUUGGGUGUGGGCAUCCAUCCCGGUCGUCUGUUGAUCGACAUAGCUCUCAUCUGAACCCAUCGUCGUACUAUGGACCAAUCUUGGAUUGAUCUGAUAGGUCCGGGCUAUCGAGGCGCUCCAAGUUGUAUAGAGAUCAUGCACCAAAUUCUGGGGCCUUCGGGAAUGUUACCCUGGAUGAAGGUCAUUUUCGGGUACCCGGGGCCCCUAUUGAUCUUGAUGUAGAUAGCCCCUUUAGAAUGUAUAGGAUAAACUUCUACUGAGGAGUUUACCUGCAUUCGGGCGCUUUCUCGGACCUUCGUGGAGCUUUCGCGAUAGGAGCUUCCUGUGUUUAUUCCUCUUUCAGAAAGAGGGGAUCGCGAGACCAGGUACUUGCCUUGCGUCAGGUGUUGGCGUUUAAAACUUCCCGAAGUCUGACUUCUUUGGGCUGGGGGUUCUUGACGUAGAGUGCUAUCUUGAGCUCAAAGAUAAUAUGAACGGCCCUUCGAGUCUUGAAUCCUCGUUGAAGGAUGUUUUCUGGAUUGGGUAUUGACCUGUCGAUAUAUAUCGAGGCUGUUGGCUUCCCGAGGCCUGCAUCGGGCAGGCGAAUCAUCGCUGCUUCUCACAUAUAUGUAGGGAGGCUUUGGCUUUUUCGCAACAAUUCACUAUUUUUAGAUAGCUGCCUUUCUACUCUGGCAUGGGUACUUCAUCUAUUUAGGUGCAAAAAGUGUUGGUGCGUGUGCUUGCUUUGACCUGUUAGUUUCACCAUAGUCAUUGGAAACCACUUCGGGGCCGAUCUAGCAGGGGACGGGGGGUGCUGCUCCCGGUGCUCAAGAACAGAGGGAGUUCGCUCUGGAGACGGCGUCCUUGAUAAGAGGGGAACACCUGGAGAUGGCGAGGAUAUAAUGCGGGUGGAGCGAGGGGAUAACACUACAGGUGCUUUCCCCAUAUGAGGGCAUUGCGGACUCUACCGAUGGAUUCUUAAGCAUAUACCUAUACCCUUUCGCAUUUGGCCCCCCCUGAUAGGAUCGUGCUUGAUUUUUUCUUGUAGUAUUGGGUUACCCUGGUCUAGAUUCAUCUGUGGUUUUGGCGAACGGAAUUGAUGAUGAGGUUCUUCGCGGAGAAGGCCGGGCUUGAAUUUAUGCUUGAUCACCUUAUCAGGCUAUAUUGACCCUUUCAUCGUUGAGGCCUGCUAACUCUGAGGUGUCGCUUGUCCACACCCUUUGUUAUUGAUGACGAGGAAAACGGGGAUCGAUAGUGGGCCAGUUGGUUUAUCCGGGUCCAGAUGAUCAACAUUAUCCCUAUGGAGUUUUUGCCAUUUCCCGAAGGGUGAAAUUAUGCACGUGAGUGAGGCGUUUGGCAUUUUUUCAGGUUUCGCCUAUUGCGAGAAGCAGCUGAGUAACAAUGUUGUCUCCCUUGUUGAAGCAACUUUGUGGACGCCGGGUGAAGUCUAUGAUCUGCCUGGCUAGGUCCGGAUGGGGAGCGCAGUACCAAGGUAUAUGCGUAUGCUGCCUUUGCCUUGCCUUCGUAUACUCGAGGUAAUAUUUUCCCCUUCCAUUUGUGAUGGAUUCGCCGUUUGCAGAUAUCGGGCGGUUCUUUGGUAUGGGGGCCCCGCGGUGUGAUGGAGCCUUUAGUGGUGUUGGUCGGGCUGACAUUUUUUAGGAAGGGGCGUCACCUGGGUCCACUGCUCCCGGAGCGCCUGAUUCUCGACCGGCGGUUCCUUUGAGCGAAUACGUCGUGCCUGAGGUCGGCUCUUCUGGGGCCACAGAGGCAAGAUCAACAUGAGUGUGUUUCGACUAUGAGGAAGUCCGUCGGCUUCACUUUUUUGUGAGUUCAUGUACAGUUUCCCUGUGCCCCGUGCCCUCCUCCCUCUAUUGAACCUUCCUUGUGUAUGCCUGUGAUAGGCUUAGGUCUGAGCUGCUCCGUCAAGGGGCCAAGUUUCACAAAAUUCUGGAUGAGGGCAAAUCCCUUAGACUCCUUAGCAAGGAGAAGGAAGUCGAGAUGUAGCAUUGGCACUAUGAGGUGCACCGAAGCUCAAACUAUUAGAGCUAUUUGAUAGAGCAGGUAACUUUCUGUAGUACGUGCUUCGCUCCUUUCUAACCUUAAGGCUAACCCCUUUUUUCGUAUUAGAGAAAGGCGGAGUCCUUGGAGUACCUCAAAGGCGACGUCAACCAUGUCAUAGUUGCUUGCAAGGAGCUAAAAGCUCAAGUGCAGGCUCGAACUUUGGAGGAGAUGAGUGCCUCGGCUAAGGUUCCUGCCUUUGAGGUCCAACUCUGUUUGACUCAUGACAAUGCCAAAGUUCAAGAAGAUAUGAUUGGGAAACUUGAAUUUGAUCUCUCGAAGGUCAGAGUUGAGAUAAUUGAUGCCCGGGCAGAAGCGACACUAAGUCGAACCAAGGCUAAUUGUGAGAUGGCAAUACGUAUGAAGGAUGUUGUUGAUGCCCAAGCCGAGCUAAAGCGAGCCCUUGACCGGGGGAAAAGGAUCGUGAAAUAUGCUCGUUGUAGAUCCUGAAGAGAGAUACUCGAGGAGGUCGGUGCAAGGGGCUUCGUCCUCUCGGUGGAAUGGGCUCGAGCAAGGGCAGACAAGCGUGACGCUCAAUUAUUUCUUGUUGACAUUGCGGAGGGCAAAUUUGAUAAGUUGUAGCCCUUUAGCGCAGAGUGUAGACAUUGCCAUUUUGUCGCUCUAGAUUUUGCCAUUUUGUCGCUUUAGAUUUUGCCAUAUUGUCGCUUUGCCUCUAAUAUACAUAGGGUAUGCUUGUAGAUGGAGAAUACGUUUUUUUUUCACAUGUAAUAUAUAAGAAGAAACUUGAGGCCUUAUUUCUUCUGUACCUUUUUUUCUGUUGUUGCUUUCGAUCGGGCAGACUGUUUUUUUUCUUGUCCUCGUAUUUUGUGUGCCUGUGCAGGCAGGUAGUAAUCGUUUUUAUCUUUUGCCCUUGGGCAUUUGUCGUUCCAACUGCUUUGGAUUCAGUCUUCGAGCCAUAUUGUGACUCGAGCUUCAAUUGACCCUCAUGAUCUUUCCUGCCUGCAUGGGCGGAUGAUGAUGGUCCUUUAUGCUCUAGGUCGAAGUGACCUUACGGGCGCGUGGCCCGGCGGUUUACUCGGCCGGCAAUAGUGGCACUUAUGCCAUGCCCUUAGGUGUAUUGCAGAUUUUGGGUCCAGUCUCUGAGUCGCAUUGUGAUUCAAGCUAUAAUCGACCCUUAAACUUCCUCGAUUUCCUGGCCGGCGAUAGUGGCACUCAUGCCCUUAGGCAUAUUGCAGUUUUCGGGUCCUGUCUCCAAGUUGCGUUGCGAUUCAAGCUGUAAUCGACCCUUAAAUUUCUUUGAGUUUCUGGCCGGUGACGGUGGCACUUAUGCCGCUUGGUCAUUGCGACCUUUUAGUAUGUGGCCCGAAGGCUCGCAUAGUUCACUAUUUUGGAAUCGGUCUCCGAAUCGGGUUACGAUUCGAGCUCAUUUUAAUCCUUAUGUUGUCAAAAAAAAUUGUAGCUGGCGACAAUGGCUCUUACGUUGUUUGGUCGUUGAGACCUUUCAAUAUAAGGCCCGUAGGCUUGCUUAGAUGGCGACAAUGGCUCUUACGUCGUUUUUUCCCAUGGACUUUUUUGUAGGCUUUGUUUCCGCUCGUUAAGGUCUUUUAGAGUAUUUUUGCCUGACCCGUCGUCCGUUCUAGAGGAACCUCGAUUUCAAGUCGUUGUCGGCGAUGUUUUGAACACCUCAUAAGGUUCAUAUCUCGUAGGACGAGUAGAUCGAUGCUCUUGCGAUUUGGAGCCGACAUGGUCGGAGAUCAUUUUUGCUUGUUGAGGGAAGCCUAUUUUAAUCGGUUCUUUCCGAAGUAUAUUCGAAGUAGUGGCCUAUGAUUUUUAGCGACAGUCGGGCGUCUCCGAGUCACGUUAUUUUGGUUGUAUCAGCCUUUUUGACCGUAGUCAUGUGCAUUUGGCCGUAGCCAUUUUUGAUCCUAAGUGAUAGUUUAGGCGUCUACACCGAGGGUAUGCCCUUUAGGGAUUCUUACAAAUGCGGUGUAUAGCCUAAACUUCGGGAUUUUCAUCCCUGUUAAGGUCUUACAAUUUGCCAUGCCUAUUGAGGUCUUACAGUUUAUCAUGCCUAUUGAGGUCUUACAGUUUGUGUGAUGUAUAAUAGAUCCGGUUAUGCCGAGUCUGCUCUCUAGGGUCUUACAGUUUCAGAUUUUCCAAUGUACGGUGAUUGGCAAUAGUUUCCGAGUCAUUGAGUUUGUUUAAGCUUGAAGACCGCUUCUCGUGAACUCGGGGUUGCAUUGUGAGGGAUUUGUGAGCCUGGGGUUCCGACCCUGGGGUCAUGUGGGCACUGAAUCGUUUAAGUCUCCUAGUAUCUCGGGACGUAUUUGGCGGAGAGGCUCCAGUUGAGAGUAUACUGUGAUUUUCCCUUUUGGACAAUGAGAUGCUUGGAAGAUAUUCUCUGAUCCAUUGGCGCAAUAAACGUGUUGUUGUGUUGAGUCAAUUUAUUUUUAGGUCGAGUUUGGUUGCUCUGAUGAUUUUCAUGUUGUCGUACUCUAAGAAGGAGCCUUUCACUUUUUUUAUGGAAAAGGGGUUUUUUGUUUGCCCGAUAUAAUAGUACACGCUCCCGCUUUGGCGGGGUCUGAUUACAUAGAUCGUUUGGCCCGAUACAUCAUCUCCUUAUAGGAACCUUUGCUUGGCAUUUCCCCACCUCCUUUGAAUCAGGUGACUUCCAAGGGGAAUGCCCUCGCCGCUUGAAAGUUGGCCAUAAGGGUGGCUUCGAGCAAUUCGUGGAGUUUCCCCUUUAGACAGCUUCGCAGACGUUGCCUCAUUAAAAACCUUUCCGGUCAAAACCCUUCUUUUUUGGGAUAAAAAUGCGGUCGAAGGAAAAGAGUGCAACGGGCGUGCUUUUGGGGGUCUCGAUGCCUCUUGAUAGUGUUAGCAUUCUGGUAUAUCCGAUCGAGUGCCUGCACGAGGGUUAGUUCUUAAGCUGAAAUGAAACAAAUGGAAUGGUUGUACCUUGAAACGGGAUAUGUUGGUGGCGCCUUGAGAUUGGCUUAUUAUGACUGCCCGAGGGCGGACAUGCGAUGCAGAUUUCUACUUCGUGUUGUCAAACCCGACCGGGGUUGAGACCUGAUUCGCCCGCUGGCUUAUUUGGGAGAAGGGGUAUGGGCACUGAUAAUACAUUAUGUAUUGCAAACAUUUCCCUUGCCGCGUGUUGUUCAUCAUAGAUGGUUUUGACCCCGUCCUUCGUCAGGAAUUUUAGCAUUUGGUGGAGGGUGGAUGAUAAUACUCUCAUGCAGUGUAUCUACGGUCGUCCAAACAAGGAAUUAUACCUUAUAUCUCCCUCGAUGACAUGGAAUUUAGUGUCUUGGGUGGCGCCAACCACGCUAAUUGGAAGGACAAUUUCUCCUUUUGUUGUUUCGCUCGCUAUGUUGAACCCAUUGUGGACCCGAGUGGCGGGCACGAUCUAUUCGAGAAGUCCAAGAUGUUCUAUUACCCUCGACCUGAUAAUAUUGGCCGAGCUACCUGGAUCCAUGAGUAAAUGUUUUAUCUUAAAAGAAUUUACAGGAAAAGAGGUUACCAAGGCAUCAUUAUGGGGUUGAGAUAGGGCCUCUGUAUCUUCUUCGCUGAGCAUGAGGGCUUCUUCGGGGAUAUAUCGCCGAGUCCGUUUUUCCCUGAUGAUGGAUAUUUUUUUUCUCCUUAUCAUGGGUUCCUGAAGGGCAUCGGUGCCCCAAAUGAUCAUGUGGAUGACGUGUUGCGGUUCGUUUGCCUUGUUCUUCUUGGUUCCCUCCCUGUCUCGAAACUGAUUUUUGGCCCGAUCACUAAGGAAUUCCAGAAGGUGCCCUUUGUUGAGUAGCCGGGCCACUUCUUCUCGUAGUUGAUGGAAAUCCUUGGUCCUGUGACCGUGUGUGUUGUGGAACUCACACACUAAGUUGUAAUUUCUCCGUGAAGGGUCCGACUGUAUUGGUUCGGGCCACUUGGCGUCCCUGAAUUUGUCGAUAACGAACACGAUGUCUGAUAUGUCGACGCUGAAGUUGUAUUCCGAUAAGUGGGGUGCGUUUGUCGGUACCAUGUUCUAAUCGAACCUAGUUCUGUUGACAAGCCCCCGAGGAUCCUGUCCUCGAUCUAUCCUCCGAUCGUUGUGGGGUAGGUUGCGCCUCAGGGCGUUCCUUCUGUAUUCAAGGUACGGUUGGUACCUUUAUUUUCUUGGUUUCGACUCUUUUGCCAGGAGUUUGUUUGGGUAUAUUGAGCCCGAAGGGGCUCCCAGCUGUUCAUCCUCGGCCCUGAUCUUUGACUAGUAUCGUUUGUGAACGUCCGACCAGGUGAUAGCCGGAUAUUCGAUUAGAUUCUGUUUCACCUAUUUUGAAGCCAUCGGCUUCGUUCAUUUAGGCCUAGGGUGAAGGCCUGCACCGCCCAGUCGUCGGAGACUGGUGGCAGCUCCAUCUGUUCCAUCUGGAAGCGGGAUAUGGAUUCUCACAACAUCUCGUUCUCUCUCUGCUUAAUUUUGAAAACAUCGGAUUUUCUCAUUGAUAUUUUUAUGGCUCUGGCAUGUGCUUUUACGAAGGAGUCUGCUAGCAUGGCGAACGAAUCUAUGGAUUUGGGAGCCAAGUUAUGGUACCACAUCAUGGCACCUUUGAAAGCGUUUUUCCAAAUUUUUUCAGCAACAUGGACUCGAUCUUGUCAUUUUUUAUGCUGUUGCCUUUUACUGCGUAGGUGUAAUCAAUGAUGUAUUCGUUAGGGUCGGAGGUGUCGUUGUACUUGGGGAGUCCCAGCAUUCCAAAUUUUUUCAGGAUAGGCUUCGGGGCUGCAUCCUCGGGGAACGACCUCUAAAUGAACUUCUUUGAAUCCAAACCUUUGAGGAUCGGGGGCGCACUUGGGAUCUGAUCGACCCUGGAGUUGUAGGUCUCGACUUUUUUGUCGUUGGCUGCAAUCAUUUUCUCACCUGAUUCGAUCCUUUUGGUGAUGUCCUCGAGCAUUUUUACGAUGGCAGGGUCAGCCACUGACUCGUUGUUGCUUGACCUUUCUAGUGCUCACUCAGCGGAGGGAGCCAUCUCUGGCGCCACUUGUCACACCUCCUUUUAACCUACACCCCCGUAAAGGUGUAUAAGGGAGUUUUUUCCAACUUAAAGCGACAAUCGAAAUGGGACUAUUUUAUUUAAAAUUUAGAGUUGCCACUUGGGAUAAUUUAUGGUGUCCCAAGUCACUGGUUCAAAUCCCGAAUCGAGGAAAGAUUGACUCUGUUUUACAGUCCGCGAACACAGAAAUCCGGGUAAGGAAUUCUGUUAACCCGAAAAAAAAGUGUUAGGCAUUCCCGAGUUCCGUGGUUCUAGCACGGUCGCUCAACUGUUACAAUUGGCCUAUUAUUAACACAUGUUUUAACCUAUGUGCAUUUUAACUUUAAAUCGCUUUUAACCAUUUUUAAGAAAAGAUUGCAACGUCAUUUAAAAUAUGUCUUGAAUCAUGUCACAUAAAUGCACCUGCAGUCCACAACACAUUUUAUAUAACAUUGUUGAGAUUUGGAUUUGAGUCACAUAAAUGUGCAUCCGAGUUUAAGAAUGUAAUUUAUGAAAAUAAUGCACCUAAAGCAACUACGCGUUUUUAAAUUUGCGAGGGCCAUGGAAAUUCAACUAAAUGGCAUGCCUCGAAUUCUAAAGGAAAAGCAUUCAACUAAACGCCCAAGGUGCGAUGAAGCUUAUUCCGGUCCAAAUCUUUUAACAACUAGCCUACCCAAAUGUGAUAGUCCUAAACAUGCUUCUAGGUGACAAUAAAAAUAAAAUAAAAUAAAUUAGAACUAAAUAAAUCAACGAAAUAUUGUGGAGAAAAAUAAUCCAAAUUAAUGUUUACCUUUAAUUAGCAAGGAGAAAUUUAGUAAUACUAUACUCAGAAUUGAAUAAUAUGGGAUCUACUUCUUUAGCCUUCCACUCCCCGCAGUAUAUUUCCAAUUAAUCAUCAUCACUGAACGACAUUCUUUUUCUUUAUGUCUUUCAUUUCUCAUUUUAUCAACAACAACAAAAUAAUGAAAAAUCAUGUCAAACUAAAGAAAAUCAGAUGCUAAGAAUCAAACAACCAAAUAUAAGCUCACAUAGAAAUUUAUCACUAAGUAAACACAUUUAAAACGAGAUUCAGAUCCAUUAAAUUCAAGAAUAAAAAAUGAGAGAUUGACCUCAAGCAAUUACAGCAGCGUAACAGGAGCCGAAAAACAGCAGCAACAUGAAAUUAUUCCACGAACCUCGAACCUCGGACAACACCCUCGACCCAGACCUUGACGACUUCGAGCGGGAAACAGUGAAUAGCGAUCUCAAAUGGAAAAUCUCACCAGCAAAUUCGAAAAUCCGCAGCAGCAGACUUGAAGCUUGUUUGACGGAGGUUCACAUGGUAGUGGGAGGAAUGAUAGUUACCAAUCUUUGUUCAAAGUGGUGUUACUGGAUUUUUAUGAGUUUAAUUAGUUUUUGUUGGAUGGUUUUUAUUUAAUGAUGAGAUUUUAUGGAGAAGCUGGUUUAAGAUCAGAAAACGUAAUUCGUUACGGUGAGGAUGAGUCUUUUUUUUGGAAGUUGGGAGGGAUGUCUAUCGUUUCUUUUAUUGUUGACGAAGAAGCUCUCAAGGCUGCCC